Chinchilla lanigera (long-tailed chinchilla) is the source of this 499-nucleotide long non-coding RNA. RefSeq lists it as uncharacterized. The record is from RefSeq and is a predicted model, not a curated record. Lineage: Eukaryota; Metazoa; Chordata; Mammalia; Rodentia; Chinchillidae. The transcript has 3 exons.
CGACCUUGUGCUUGCCAGGCAGGCUCUGUGCCACUGAGCUAAAUCCCCACCCCCUGCAUUGACUUUUAAACUUAGCGAAUUAUGUUACAUUUCUUAAUUUUAUUAUCAUCUCAGACAAUGCAAUUCACUUAUCCAUGUAAAAAGAUGUGUGUUCAUGUUAUUCAUUACAAAAUGACAGCAUUUGUGAUUUUCUGGGAAGAUGGACUUUAAGCCUUAUACACAUUUGAGAAAGAAGACUGUCCUGUGAUACCAAACCAUGUACUACUAAGUAACCAGGACUUCAUGAAGACUCUUCCUCACACCUUCUGGCAGAUAGACACAUAGCUUUCAAAAGAACUAGAAGAAGGCAAGAGUCCCUGAAAACUGUGUGAGGAUAGUCAUCAAAAGCCAGCAUCCUCAGAAUCAUGUAAAUAAAGUAUAACAGAAUGUGGAAGAUGAUUUUAUCUACUCAGAUUUUGUAGUGGAUUGAUAACUGGUGGUCAACUUAUAACCCCCAGCU